UAACUUUUAGGACCCUGAUUCAGGGGAAGGACAAGAUUGAAACAAUAAAUUCACCACUUAGAUUUUCUAAUAGUGAAAGUGGAAAGGAUAGUCAUAAGCAUAAUACUGUUUUCUGAAAACAGAAACUUCAGUGAUUCAUCUGCAGAAUCAGUCAUUUUUUGAGUGGGUCUCCUUGCAUUAAGGACUGAGGAACGCAGACUGUGCCUUAAGUUAUGUGUGGGGAGGUGAAUGGGACCUUCAGGAACUUCCAAGUCAGCCUGUCAGUACACGUUGUGUAUCUCAGCCACUUCCUCCUUCCAGCCAUGAGUAAUCACCGAGCAGCCAGAGGGAGUGAUUCAGGUACGUUUUGUGGAACCUAGAAGUGUUAGAGCCUUAACAGUAAAUACCAGCACUUAAUAGCCUGUUCUUCC
This 410-nucleotide long non-coding RNA is filed under the name Bos taurus (domestic cattle). Its description in RNAcentral is "long non-coding RNA NONBTAT005587". Lineage: Eukaryota; Metazoa; Chordata; Mammalia; Artiodactyla; Bovidae. The record is from RNAcentral.